CCUACGGGGGGCAGCAGUAGGGAAUCUUUCACAAUGGGCGAAAGCCUGAUGGAGCAACGCCGCGUGCAGGAUGAAGGCCUUCGGGUUGUAAACUGCUUUUAUAAGCGAGAAAUAUGAUGGUAACUUAUGAAUAAGGAUCGGCUAACUACGUGCCAGCAGCCGCGGUCAUACGUAGGCGCCGAGCAUUAUACGGAGUGACUGGGUGUAAAGAGUUGCGUAGGUGGCAUAAUAAGUAGCUAGGGAAAUCUGGUGGCUCAACCAUUCAGACUAUUAGCGAAACUGUUAAGCUCGAGACCGUUAGGGGUAGCUGGAAUUUCUAGUGUAGGAGUGAAAUCCGUAGAUAUUAGAAGGAACACCGAUAGCGUAGGCAGGUUGCUGGGACGGUUCUGACACUAAGGCACGAAAGCGUAGGGAGCAAACGGGAUUAGAUACCCCUGUAGUC
RNAcentral lists this ribosomal RNA (442 nucleotides) under uncultured bacterium. RNAcentral's name for it is "partial 16S ribosomal RNA". It matches the Rfam family "Bacterial small subunit ribosomal RNA", at positions 338 to 795 of the family's 1533-position model. The record is from RNAcentral.